AUGACCCACCUCCACUAUCCCCACUAUCUCCACCAUCCCCACCACUCCCACCAUCUCCACCAUCCCCAACUUCUUUAAAGAGAAAGAGAGAGAGAGGGAGAGAGAGAGAGAGAAAGAGAGAGAGAGAGAGAAAGCUCACCUGAGCUCCUCGCCGGAGCAACCGUGUGCCGUGAUCACGUUCAGCUUGCCACCACCGAUAAACGCCCUAGGUAACCGCCGAAAACCGCAUUUCUUAAGCUCAUUUUCGUUUCCGUUUAGUAAAUCACCCAUAACUUCCUAACCAUUGAUCAUCUCGUACAUCCAAGGCCAUCAUCGUGUUCCUCUCGUCGAGACGAAGCCGUAGACACCAACCACACCUCAAACGGAUCCCGGACGAAGCCGCACGCGCCUCCCGAAGAUUCGCCUCGGCGCGCGCGUGAAACACACGCGCCACCGCCGUCCGCCGGAGCCACCGCGAGUUCCGGCCACGCGCCGCCGUCUCCGACCAAAGUUCGCCGGAGCCGCCGUGACUGACCACCGUCCGUCCGCCGCCGAGAAGCCGCCGUCGCCGCCGUUGAUUUUCCGAUUUGGAGUCCAUUUGAGCAGCUGGAGUUCAUAGAUACCACCUCUUAUUGUUGCUAAAGUGAGACCGAUGAGCAGUAGUGAUUAUCGGACCGGUGCUAUUGGGCUUUUGGGCUUCUAUCGCUUUUACCGCUUUUAUCUUUAUCGGGCCUUUAGGCCUUUGGACUUUUAUCGUCUAUGUUAUUCCUAUUUCAGACUUUCGGUUUAUAUCGUAUUUUAUAUUUCAGAUGUUAUCGAUGUUGGGUUUUUAGGCCUUUUGUUACCGUAUUGACUUUUAUAUUAUAUGAAGAUUAUUAUUA
Long non-coding RNA from Brassica napus (rape), 860 nucleotides. RefSeq lists it as uncharacterized. NCBI's taxonomy places the organism in Eukaryota, Viridiplantae, Streptophyta, Magnoliopsida, Brassicales, Brassicaceae. The transcript is spliced from 3 exons. The record is from RefSeq and is a predicted model, not a curated record.